GUGAAUUGUGCAAGAAGAAUACACUAUGUGGAUUAUUUCUAAAAUCAAAUGUUUGAAAUUAAGGGUGAGUUCUGAGCAUAGAAAGCAGCCUGAAGCCCCAGGAUUCAGGUCCCCAGAUUACGAAGGACUGGACAGGAUUCACUCCUGUAAGCAAAGUUCUUUUUCUCUAGUACUGUGGUUUCUGGAAGAAACAGUUGUUUAGAGAUAAAAAAUCAGGAAAUCCAAAAUGAAUAAACAUGUGAAAAUGUAGAAAUUGACUGUUGGCGAGGACUUGAAGAUUCUUUCCAUAUUUUGAAGAUGUG
Molecule: long non-coding RNA, 302 nt
Filed under: Homo sapiens (human)
Lineage: Eukaryota; Metazoa; Chordata; Mammalia; Primates; Hominidae
Description: non-protein coding lnc-RFPL4B-3:1
Source: RNAcentral